Molecule: non-coding RNA, 22 nt
Filed under: Rattus norvegicus (Norway rat)
Lineage: Eukaryota; Metazoa; Chordata; Mammalia; Rodentia; Muridae
Source: RNAcentral
AUUUUCCUAAGGCUCAAAGAGG